AGAGCGAACGCUGGCGGCAGGCUUAACACAUGCAGGUCGAGCGGGCGUAGCAAUACGUCAGCGGCAGACGGGUGAGUAACGCGUGGGAACGUACCUUUUGGUUCGGAACAACACAGGGAAACUUGUGCUAAUACCGGAUAAGCCCUUACGGGGAAAGAUUUAUCGCCAAAAGAUCGGCCCGCGUCUGAUUAGCUAGUUGGUGAGGUAACGGCUCACCAAGGCGACGAUCAGUAGCUGGUCUGAGAGGAUGAUCAGCCACAUUGGGACUGAGACACGGCCCAAACUCCUACGGGAGGCAGCAGUGGGAAUAUUGGACAAUGGGCGCAAGCCUGAUCCAGCCAUGCCGCGUGAGUGAUGAAGGCCCUAGGGUUGUAAAGCUCUUUUGUGCGGGAAGAUAAUGACGGUACCGCAAGAAUAAGCCCCGGCUAACUUCGUGCCAGCAGCCGC
RNAcentral lists this ribosomal RNA (447 nucleotides) under uncultured bacterium. Its description in RNAcentral is "SSU rRNA". It matches the Rfam family "Bacterial small subunit ribosomal RNA", at positions 26 to 518 of the family's 1533-position model. The record is from RNAcentral.